UAGAGGGACAGUGGACCCCUGGUUAAAGGGGAGGUUUUGUAUCAGUGUUGAGGAGAGGGACAGUGGACCCCUGGUUAAAGGGGAGGUUUUGUAUCAGUGUUGGGGAGAGGGACAGUGGACCCCUGGAUAAAGGGGAGGUUUUGUAUCAGUGUUGGGGAGAGGGACAGUGGACCCCUGGAUAAAGGGGAGGUUUUGUAUCAGAGUUGAGGAGAGGGACAGUGGACCCCUGGUUAAAGGGGAUGUUUUGUAUCAGUGUUGAGGAGAGGAGAGGGACAGUGGACCCCUGGUUAAAGGGGAGGUUUUGUAUCAGUGUUGAGGAGAGGGACAGUGGACCCCUGGAUAAAGGGGAGGUUUUGUAUCAGUGUUGAGGAGAGGGACAGUGGACCCCUGGAUAAAGGGGAGGUUUUGUAUCAGUGUUGAGGAGAGGGACAGUGGACCCCUGGAUAAAGGGGAGGUUUUGUAUCAGUGUUGAGGAGAGGGACAGUGGACCCCUGGUUAAAGGGGAGGUUUUGUAUCAGUGUUGAGGAGAGUAGAGGGACAGUGGACCCCUGGAUAAAGGGGAGGUUUUGUAUCAGUGUUGAGGAGAGGAGAGGGACAGUGGACCCCUGGUUAAAGGGGAGGUUUUGUAUCAGUGUUGGGGAGAGGGACAGUGGACCCCUGGAUAAAGGGGAGGUUUUGUAUCAGUGUUGAGAGGAGAGGGACAGUGGACCCCUGGAUAAAGGGGAGGUUUUGUAUCAGUGUUGAGGAGAGGGACAGUGGACCCCUGGAUAAAGGGGAGGUUUUGUAUCAGUGUUGAGGAGAGGGACAGUGGACCCCUGGAUAAAGGGGAGGUUUUGUAUCAGUGUUGAGGAGAGGGACAGUGGACCCCUGGUUAAAGGGGAGGUUUUGUAUCAGUGUUGAGGAGAGUAGAGGGACAGUCGACCCCUGGAUAAAGGGGAGGUUUUGUAUCAGUGUUGAGGAGAGGGACAGUGGACCCCUGGUUAAAGGGGAGGUUUUGUAUCAGUGUUGAGGAGAGGGACAUUGGACCCCUGGAUAAAGGGGAGGUUUUGUAUCAGUGUUGAGGAGAGGGACAGUGGACCCCUGGAUAAAGGGGAGGUUUUGUAUCAGUGUUGAGAGGAGAGGGACAGUGGACCCCUGGUUAAAGGGGAGGUUUUGUAUCAGUGUUGGGGAGAGGGACAGUGGACCCCUGGAUAAAGGGGAGGUUUUGUAUCAGUGUUGAGAGGAGAGGGACAGUGGACCCCUGGAUAAAGGGGAGGUUUUGUAUCAGUGUUGAGGAGAGGGACAGUGGACCCCUGGAUAAAGGGGAGGUUUUGUAUCAGUGUUGAGGAGAGGGACAGUGGACCCCUGGUUAAAGGGGAGGUUUUGUAUCAGUGUUGAGGAGAGGGACAGUGGACCCCUGGAUAAAGGGGAGGUUUUGUAUCAGUGUUGGGGAGAGGAGAGGGACAGUGGACCCCUGGAUAAAGGGGAGGUUUUGUAUCAGUGUUGGGGAGAGGAGAGGGACAGUGGACCCCUGGAUAAAGGGGAGGUUUUGUAUCAGUGUUGAGGAGAGGGACAGUGGACCCCUGGAUAAAGGGGAGGUUUUGUGUCAGUGUUGAGGAGAGGGACAGUGGACCCCUGGAUAAAGGGGAGGUUUUGUAUCAGUGUUGAGGAGAGGGACAGUGGACCCCUGGUUAAAGGGGAGGUUUUGUAUCAGUGUUGAGGAGAGGGACAGUGGACCCCUGGAUAAAGGGGAGGUUUUGUAUCAGAGUUGAGGAGAGGGACAGUGGACCCCUGGUUAAAGGGGAGGUUUUGUAUCAGUGUUGAGGAGAGGGACAGUGGACCCCUGGUUAAAGGGGAGGUUUUGUAUCAGUGUUGAGGAGAGGGACAGUGGACCCCUGGAUAAAGGGGAGGUUUUGUAUCAGUGUUGGGGAGAGGGACAGUGGACCCUUGGUUAAAGGGGAGGUUUUGUAUCAGUGUUGAGGAGAGGGACAGUGGACCCCUGGAUAAAGGGGAGGUUUUGUAUCAGUGUUGAGUAGAGGGACAGUGGACCCCUGGAUAAAGGGGAGGUUUUGUAUCAGUGUUGAGGAGAGUAGAGGGACAGUGGACCCCUGGUUAAAGGGGAGGUUUUGUAUCAGUGUUGAGGAGAGGGACAGUGGACCCCUGGUUAAAGGGGAGGUUUUGUAUCAGUGUUGAGGAGAGUAGAGGGACAGUGGACCCCUGGUUAAAGGGGAGGUUUUGUAUCAGUGUAGAGGAGAGGGACAGUGGACCCCUGGUUAAAGGGGAGGUUUUGUAUCAGUGUUGAGGAGAGUAGAGGGACAGUGGACCCCUGGUUAAAGGGGAGGUUUUGUAUCAGUGUUGAGGAGAGGGACAGUGGACCCCUGGUUAAAGGGGAGGUUUUGUAUCAGUGUUGAGGAGAGGGACAGUGGACCCCUGGUUAAAGGGGAGGUUUUGUAUCAGUGUUGAGGAGAGUAGAGGGACAGUGGACCCCUGGUUAAAGGGGAGGUUUUGUAUCAGUGUUGGGGAGAGGGACAGUGGACCCUUGGAUAAAGGGGAGGUUUUGUAUCAGUGUUGGGGAGAGGGACAGUGGACCCCUGGAUAAAGGGGAGGUUUUGUAUCAGUGUUGAGGAGAGGGACAGUGGACCCCUGGAUAAAGGGGAGGUUUUGUAUCAGUGUUGAGGAGAGGGACAGUGGACCCCUGGAUAAAGGGGAGGUUUUGUAUCAGUGUUGAGGAGAGGGACAGUGGACCCCUGGAUAAAGGGGAGGUUUUGUAUCAGUGUUGAGGAGAGGAGAGGGACAGUGGACCCCUGGUUAAAGGGGAGGUUUUGUAUCAGUGUUGAGGAGAGGGACAGUGGACCCCUGGUUAAAGGGGAGGUUUUGUAUCAGUGUUGGGGAGAGGGACAGUGGACCCCUGGUUAAAGGGGAGGUUUUGUAUCAGUGUUGGGGAGAGGAGAGGGACAGUGGACCCCUGGAUAAAGGGGAGGUUUUGUAUCAGUGUUGAGGAGAGGGACAGUGGACCCCUGGAUAAAGGGGAGGUUUUGUAUCAGUGUUGAGGAGAGGGACAGUGGACCCCUGGAUAAAGGGGAGGUUUUGUAUCAGUGUUGAGGAGAGGGACAGUGGACCCCUGGAUAAAGGGGAGGUUUUGUAUCAGUGUUGAGGAGAGGAGAGGGACAGUGGACCCCUGGUUAAAGGGGAGGUUUUGUAUCAGUGUUGAGGAGAGGGACAGUGGACCCCUGGAUAAAGGGGAGGUUUUGUAUCAGUGUUGAGGAGAGGGACAGUGGACCCCUGGUUAAAGGGGAGGUUUUGUAUCAGUGUUGAGGAGAGGGACAGUGGACCCCUGGAUAAAGGGGAGGUUUUGUAUCAGUGUUGAGGAGAGGGACAGUGGACCCCUGGUUAAAGGGGAGGUUUUGUAUCAGUGUUGAGAGGAGAGGGACAGUCGACCCCUGGAUAAAGGGGAGGUUUUGUAUCAGUGUUGAGGAGAGGGACAGUGGACCCCUGGAUAAAGGGGAGGUUUUGUAUCAGUGUUGAGGAGAGGGACAGUGGACCCCUGGUUAAAGGGGAUGUUUUGUAUCAGUGUUGAGGAGAGGGACAGUGGACCCUUGGUUAAAGGGGAGGUUUUGUAUCAGUGUUGAGGAGAGGGACAGUGGACCCCUGGAUAAAGGGGAGGUUUUGUAUCAGUGUUGAGGAGAGGGACAGUGGACCCCUGGUUAAAGGGGAGGUUUUGUAUCAGUGUUGAGGAGAGGGACAGUGGACCCCUGGAUAAAGGGGAGGUUUUGUAUCAGUGUUGGGGAGAGGAGAGGGACAGUGGACCCCUGGUUAAAGGGGAGGUUUUGUAUCAGUGUUGAGGAGAGGGACAGUGGACCCCUGGUUAAAGGGGAGGUUUUGUAUCAGUGUUGAGGAGAGGGACAGUGGACCCCUGGUUAAAGGGGAGGUUUUGUAUCAGUGUUGAGGAGAGGGACAGUGGACCCCUGGAUAAAGGGGAGGUUUUGUAUCAGUGUUGAGGAGAGGGACAGUGGACCCCUGGUUAAAGGGGAGGUUUUGUAUCAGUGUUGAGGAGAGGGACAGUGGACCCCUGGAUAAAGGGGAGGUUUUGUAUCAGUGUUGAGGAGAGGAGAGGGACAGUGGACCCCUGGAUAAAGGGGAGGUUUUGUAUCAGUGUUGAGGAGAGGGACAGUGGACCCUUGGUUAAAGGGGAGGUUUUGUAUCAGUGUUGAGGAGAGGGACAGUGGACCCCUGGAUAAAGGGGAGGUUUUGUAUCAGUGUUGAGAGGAGAGGGACAGUGGACCCCUGGUUAAAGGGGAGGUUUUGUAUCAGUGUUGAGGAGAGGAGAGGGACAGUGGACCCCUGGUUAAAGGGGAGGUUUUGUAUCAGUGUUGAGGAGAGGGACAGUGGACCCCUGGAUAAAGGGGAGGUUUUGUAUCAGUGUUGAGGAGAGGAGAGGGACAGUGGACCCCUGGAUAAAGGGGAGGUUUUGUAUCAGUGUUGGGGAGAGGGAC
Long non-coding RNA from Salvelinus fontinalis (brook trout), 4472 nucleotides. RefSeq lists it as uncharacterized. The transcript has 4 exons. The record is from RefSeq and is a predicted model, not a curated record. NCBI's taxonomy places the organism in Eukaryota, Metazoa, Chordata, Actinopteri, Salmoniformes, Salmonidae.